AUUGCGGGAAACCAUUAAUUACAGAAUAGCCUUAGACUGUCGUGGAUUUGAGCAAAAUGGAGCAAAAUCGACAGAAUUUUGGUAAACAUAUAUUGCCAAAAAAUUUGCCAAAAAAGAUGCUAUCGCAAAACUGUUCACUGGAACUUCAUUUUUCAAACAUUUUGAACAAUUUAUUAGUUGUCAAUUUUUUUCUAGCUAUCGCGUAGAUUGAUACAUAGCGGCUCAAAGUUACCCGCAUUCUUC
Small nucleolar RNA from Caenorhabditis elegans, 243 nucleotides. Lineage: Eukaryota; Metazoa; Nematoda; Chromadorea; Rhabditida; Rhabditidae. The record is from Ensembl.